UACGGGGGGAGCAAGCGUUGUUCGGAUUUACUGGGCGUAAAGGGCGGGUAGGCGGCCACCGCAGGUCAGUUGUGAAAUCUCCGGGCUUAACCCGGAAAGGUCAACUGAUACUGCGGGGCUAGAGUGCAGAAGGGGCAACUGGAAUUCUCGGUGUAGCGGUGAAAUGCGUAGAUAUCGGGAGGAAUACCGAUGGCGAAGGCAGGUCUCUGGGCUAUAACUGACGCUCAUGCACGAAAGCGUGGGGAGCAAACAGG
This 254-nucleotide ribosomal RNA is filed under the name uncultured bacterium. RNAcentral describes it as "partial 16S ribosomal RNA". It matches the Rfam family "Bacterial small subunit ribosomal RNA", at positions 524 to 776 of the family's 1533-position model. The record is from RNAcentral.